GCGAAGGUAGGCGGAAUUGGUAGUGCGCUAGCUUCAGGUGUUAGUGUCCUUACGGACGUGGGGUUCGAAGAUACCCCCCCUCGCACCA
RNAcentral lists this transfer RNA (88 nucleotides) under Salmonella enterica subsp. enterica. RNAcentral describes it as "tRNA-Leu". Lineage: Bacteria; Pseudomonadati; Pseudomonadota; Gammaproteobacteria; Enterobacterales; Enterobacteriaceae. The record is from RNAcentral.